RNAcentral lists this ribosomal RNA (461 nucleotides) under uncultured bacterium. RNAcentral's name for it is "bacterial SSU rRNA". It matches the Rfam family "Bacterial small subunit ribosomal RNA", at positions 29 to 506 of the family's 1533-position model. The record is from RNAcentral.
AUGAACGCUGGCGGCGUGUUUAAGGCAUGCAAGUCGAACGUGGUUCCGACGCAAGUCGGAAUCUAGUGGCAAACGGGUGCGUAACACACUGGCAACCUACCUCCGAGUCGGGGAUAGCCCGCCGAAAGGCGGAUUAAUACCCGAUAGUAAUGCGGGGACACAAGUCAUUCGCAUUUAAAGUUUUAAUACUUGGAGAGGGGCCUAUGGCCUAUCAGCUAGUUGGUGAGGUAACGGCUCACCAAGGCGACGACGGGUAGGGGGCGUGAGAGCGCGACCCCCCUCACUGGGACUGAGACACUGCCCAGACUCCUACGGGAGGCUGCAGUCGAGAAUAUUCCACAAUGGGCGAAAGCCUGAUGGAGCGACGCCGCGUGCAGGAUGAAGGUCUUCGGAUUGUAAACUGCUUUUAUAGGGGAAGAAUUUGUGACUGUACCCUAUGAAUAAGAGGUUGCUAACUCUGU